AGAAAACAUGUGAGAAUCGAAGGACGAGGAGUCAGAACCAGGGGACUGGGAAAGUGAAGGUGAAAAAGCAGAGAAAGCUGACUGCACAGCGCUUCCUGACCUUGCAGGACGAGACCAAACAAAACCCCAUUGAGAUCUGUUUCUGGGGGGACCAGGUGAGCUGCGCUGCAAUGGUUGGGAUUGGAGACACUAUCAAGGUGAACAAUGUGUACUCCAGUGAGUAUGAAGACAGUAUUCCUCUCAACACAACAAAAGAAACCAUGGUUGAUAUGAUCCAGGCUGCUAAAUCGGAGACUGUAAUGUUGUCCAUUCAAUCAAUUGUGUGCAAUGACGAGGUGACCCUGGAGGCAGAGAGGAUGGAGGAUGGAACACUAAACACAUUCAUUGUGGCAUUAGAGCUCCUGGCAAAGACCGAUGGGAUUAAACAUGAUGAAAGUGUUGAGAAGAUACUUGUUGAUAUGUUACCACUCUCUGUGGAGGCAGAAAUACAAGGGAAUAAGAUUACAGCUCUAAAAAAAGAUGAAAGUCCAACCUGAAUUAUAAAAUGUUUC
This 551-nucleotide long non-coding RNA is filed under the name Salmo salar (Atlantic salmon). RNAcentral describes it as "lncRNA (ENSSSAG00000087726.1, ENSSSAG00020081077.1, ENSSSAG00075064395.1)". The record is from RNAcentral. Lineage: Eukaryota; Metazoa; Chordata; Actinopteri; Salmoniformes; Salmonidae.